This 343-nucleotide ribosomal RNA is filed under the name uncultured bacterium. Its description in RNAcentral is "bacterial SSU rRNA". It matches the Rfam family "Bacterial small subunit ribosomal RNA", at positions 457 to 793 of the family's 1533-position model. The record is from RNAcentral.
GACUGCAUUAUUUGUACGUUAGCGACAGAAGAAGCACCGGCUAACUCCGUGCCAGCAGCCGCGGUAAUACGGAGGGUGCGAGCGUUAAUCGGAAUUACUGGGCGUAAAGCGCAUGCAGGUGGUUUGUUAAGUUCAGAUGUGAAAGACCCGGGGCGUCAACCUCGGAAUAGCAUUUGAAACUAGGCAGACUAGAGUACUGUAGAGGGGGGUAGGAAUUUCAGGUGUAGCGGUGAAAUGCGUAGAGAUCUGAAGGAAUACCGGUGGCGAAGGCGGCCCCCUCGGACAGAUACUGACACUCAGAUGCGAAAGCGUGGGGAGCAAACAGGAUUAGAUACCCUGGUAG